Molecule: transfer RNA, 74 nt
Filed under: Pseudomonas aeruginosa
Lineage: Bacteria; Pseudomonadati; Pseudomonadota; Gammaproteobacteria; Pseudomonadales; Pseudomonadaceae
Also listed under: 1 other name
Description: tRNA-OTHER
Rfam family: tRNA
About the family: Transfer RNA (tRNA) molecules are approximately 80 nucleotides in length.
Source: RNAcentral
GUCCUCGUAGUUUAAUGGAUAGAACGGCCCCUCCUAAGGGGUCGGUACAGGUUCGAUUCCUGUCGGGGACGCCA